GAGUAUAGGAGAAUAUGAGUUUAAUCCAAUGCAUUGUGGUAGUCACUUAUCCCUAGGAAACACUUGAUUAAUCAGUAAAUCAGGAAAACAUUGGUCUGAUAAUUUGUUAAUAAUUGGAAGAUUACCCAAGAUUCAGAGAAGGAAAUUGUUUUACCAAAUGGAUAACCUUGCCUCCUCAGGAUGGCAUAUAGCAAAAUAUAAAUUUAAUCUAAUGUCUUAUGGUAUCGAAU
This 230-nucleotide long non-coding RNA is filed under the name Elaeis guineensis (African oil palm). RNAcentral describes it as "long non-coding RNA (EGUI_LNC021603)". The record is from RNAcentral. Lineage: Eukaryota; Viridiplantae; Streptophyta; Magnoliopsida; Arecales; Arecaceae.